This 3959-nucleotide long non-coding RNA is filed under the name Sus scrofa (pig). RNAcentral's name for it is "lncRNA (ENSSSCG00000062792.1)". Lineage: Eukaryota; Metazoa; Chordata; Mammalia; Artiodactyla; Suidae. The record is from RNAcentral.
GGAUCUGAGCCUCAUCUGAGACCUACACCACAACUCAUGGCAACACUGGAUCCUUAACCCACUGAGUGAGGCCAGGGAUUGAACCUGAAUCCUCAUGGAUGCUAGUCAGACUUGUUUCUGCUGAGCCAUGAUGGGAAAUCCUCAGCAGCUAUUUUGCAACCACUGACACAGUUCUCUGCUAGUCCUGUCCUUCCUGCAUCUAGCAGGAAGGCUGAGGUCAAAAACACAGUUAACCACAACACAAAGCAAGAGGAUGGUAAGUCCUUUAAGGUAGAUUAUAUCCUCAUUAAUAUACUUAUCACCCUGAGGAUUCAGUGAGUGCCAAAACAGAGUCUCAAACAAUAUAAACAUGUAUUAAGCCUUCCAUGGCAUUACUCUUUAACUUCUUUAGCUAAAAUAUGCUAUACAUAAGAUCUGCAGACAGACACAGCCAUAGCAUAUGGAAGUUCCCAGGCUAGGGGUCAAAUCAGAGCUGCAGUUGCUGACCUACACCACAGCCACACUAGAUAUGAGCCAUGUCUGUGACCCACAUCACAGCUCACACAACGACAAAUCCUUAACCUACUGAGCAGGGCCAAGGAUCGAACGUGCCUCCUAAUGGAUACUAGUUGGGUUCAUUACCUAUGAUUUACAGUGGGAACUCCAAGAGUAAUUCUUUUUUCACGUCUAAAUGGAAAGGCACAAUGUCCAUUCUGAUCACAGACAGUCACACUCUCUCAGGGUCAGGGAUGGGAAGGAGACAGGGUGCUUUCAGCCGGAGGGGAAAGAGAAGGUUAACCCAUGCCAUGGAAUCCCUUUUCUGUCAUGCUCUGUCUGGAGCUCUUCUCGUAUCUUGUCUUAUUCCUCCAAACAUUCCUCUCAAUAGUGAUGUACUACUGUAUUAAUGUACUAGAAUAAUGCUUCUGAAAUACUGAUGAAUUUCCCUUUUUUGUAAUUACUUUUCUCCCUUGGCCCUUUUUUCUCCUCUCAAUCAGGUAGGCUAUUUUGUGUUAGUUGCUUGGGGGAAGGAUGUGGAACCAGAGCAGAUAAAAAAGCCAUUUCAAAAGCCAAGGCCCUUUGGCAAGGAAAAUCACUCAAGCUUAAGAGUUGGACUGAGUAACAGAAGUUACUACCUCCAGCUCAAAGCCAUCUUGCCAACUAUAAAAAUGUUCUCCAGGCUGGAAUAAGAAGUCAGAAAAGAAACAAUGAGACAGCAUGGAAGAUGGGAGGCCCCUCUAAAUGUGGUCCUGUCCUCUCUCCUUGGGCUGAACCUGAGCAGGUAGAAAAAAAUCUCAUAUUUGUUUUAGGGGUGUGAGAGCAAAAAGACUUCUGUCUUGUCUGCUUAUAUUGUGGCAGGAAGAUAGUUCAUCUCCAGAGACUUGGUUACAAGAUGUGUCAUGCAGUGGUGUGCUAGACCUGGCUAGCUAAAGUUGAUUGGUACACUUACGGGAGUUUUGUGAGCUGAGUGUUAAAUCCUAAGUAACUUAAAAUCAGUCAUGGUGGGAGCAUUUAUACCCCAGAAAUUGGAAAACUCUGAAAAUUAGGACCUUCCUCUCCCCACCCCUCAGAGGUCAUUAAACAUUUACCUGCACACAACUGGAGAGGUGGAGGAAGACUUAGACAGUGUUGGAGAAUGAUACCUGUGUUCCCACAAAUUAAUGAGAAGGAGAGGAAAUCCCUCCAGAUGGAGGGAUCCUCCAAAUAGGUGACUGUCUUUGGAAACUGCACAGAUCAACAACAGAGACCCACAAAGGAAGGAGAGGUCAGCAAAUGUUCAAAUGACACUGCUAAGAGAUUAGGCCCCUGGGAUGAUGAUGUUUUAGAUAAGUACCCUAGAACAUAAAUGCAAACCUGGGAAAAGGCCCAGAAAUCCUAAAUUAUUUGACAGGACAUUUCCUCCACCACGUGGAAUAGGGACUCAAAACAUGAAUUAAAUUCUUAUGGAAAAAUAAAAUCACACAUAUUAUAUACCUGAGUUUGUGAAAUUUACAUCUACAUCUACAUCUGUGUGACAGAUGAGAAAUGUGAAGGCUGGAGAGGUGGCCUCCCCAUAAUCUCAUCUAACUCCCUGAUCCAUGCUGUUUUCACCUCGGGGGAGCUGAUAUUGUGGGUGGCAUUUCUGGGGGUGGGGAACUGAUUUAAGGAGUAGGACCCAGAGCAGGUGCAAGCCAUGAAAAUGUAAAACAUUCUCCCAGUCCCAACCCAAAUCAACAAGAAGCUCCUGGACUCCUUACCUAGUAAGGUAAUUUUAAAAACAUUAAACAGACAGCUGAAAAGGCCUCUUUUCUUUGUUGUUGUUAUUUUUUUUGCCAUUUUCUUGGGCCGCUCUCGUGACAUAUGGAGGUUCCCAGGCUAGGGGUCGAAUCGGAGCUGUAGCCACCGGCCUAUGCCAGAGCCACAGCUACGCAGAAUCCGAGCCGCGUCUGCAACCUACACCACAGCUCAUGGCAACGCCGGAUCGUCAACCCACUGAGUAAGGCCAGGGACCGAACCCGCAACCUCAUUGUUCCUAGAUGGAUUCGUUAACCACUGCGCCACGACGGGAACUCCUGAAAAGGCCUCUUUUGAAUUAGUCAGGUUUUGCCAAAUAAUUUAAAAGCCGAGUUUGAUAGAGGGGCAAGAAUGAGAAAUGAGUAAUCCAACUGAUGACAGAUGGAGUGUAAAAGCAGGAGAUCAGGGACCAAGAGAAGAGAACAUGGCCAUGGUGCCAUGAAGGAGGAAAGAGCAUAUUUGGUGGAGUCCAAGCAGUGGGCUAUAGGCUGGUCUGUGUGGGGCCUGAGCAUGACUGGGUCAGCUCUCAACAAGCCUUAGGAGACAAUGGAUGAAUGGCAUUGGCAUAAAAGGGAAGCCAUGUGCCUGCUGAUGGCCCAGAGGGAGAACUCUCUGGUGGAGCAUGAGCUUUAGUUGUUAUUCAUGGCAGAGUAGGCACUCACUUCUCCAUCCCCUGCCACCCUCCCCCACCACUUUUCAAAGGCAUCCCUCCCACUGCAGUGAGCACAGUGCUCCAACCAACAUCAGCACAAAACAAAGGAGUCAAUUCCAGCUACGAACCAGCCCAGGGAAUCGUUUCAAACUAAGCAAAUGGAUCUGCCUUUACAGAGAGCCUCUCUUCAGGAACUGCAUCCUUCUGUGCAGAGGGAGGGUCCUUCAGUUCAUCCAAGGCAGCAGCCUCAUCCUGUUUUCCCUCCUGCUUCCAGGGUCUGGCUGAGCCUCCACAGAAGGCCAGACUCCCUCAACUUUGGAGGGAGACUUGAGCACCUAUCUCCUUUAACUAGACCAAAGCACCCUCUACCUCUGCUGGCCAUUAAAGGGUAUUUUAGAAGGCAAGGAGCAUCUCUCUUCUUCAGGGCUUGGCUGGCAACUUGGUGAGGCUGGGGGGAGGAGCAGACAGUGUGCGGCUCUCAGCUCUGCCUUCACUGGGGUAUAAAAUCCAUUCCACAUCAGGAAGCCAAAUAGUGACCCAGGGUCCCUGCCCUUCACCCCGUGGACACUAGUCAGAAGCCAAAGUGCACUAGGCACCUUGGAUCUCCUCUGAGCUAUAGGAGGAGGGCAGAGGCUGCUCUUUCUAGCCCACUCACAUUUUCCCCUUCUUCAUUCUGCUGUUUGGUCCUCUUUCUUCACCUAGAUUGUAACUGCACUGAAGAGAGGGGCUCUGCCUAAUAUCCCCUAAAAUCAUAGUAAGUGCUCAAGAAAUGCAUAUAUAGUUUGAUCACUGAUAAUGGGUCCAUGUGUUGCAAACAAUGUCCAUACCUUCCCAAUAGCUCUCACUACUUGAGUGCUAAAGAGGAGGAAUGGGAAUUCUCCCUGUGAUGCAGUAGGUUAAGGAUCUGAUUGCUGUGGCUCAGGCCUUUACUGAGGCGUGGGUUUGAUCCUUGGCCCAGCACAGUGGAUUAAGUAUCCCGCAUUGUUGCAGCUGUGGUGCAGGUCACAGCUGUAGCUUGAAUUCAAUCCCUGGCCCAGGAAAUUCCAUAUACCAUGGG